This 87-nucleotide transfer RNA is filed under the name Gammaproteobacteria bacterium. RNAcentral's name for it is "tRNA-Leu". It matches the Rfam family "tRNA". Rfam says of the family: Transfer RNA (tRNA) molecules are approximately 80 nucleotides in length. Lineage: Bacteria; Pseudomonadati; Pseudomonadota; Gammaproteobacteria. RNAcentral also lists the same sequence under 1 other name. The record is from RNAcentral.
GCCGGGGUGGUGAAAUUGGUAGACGCGGUGGACUCAAAAUCCACUGUCAGCGAUGACGUGUCGGUUCGAGUCCGACCCUCGGCACCA